GACGAACGCUGGCGGCGUGCUUAACACAUGCAAGUCGAACGGAAAGGCCCUGCUUUUGUGGGGUGCUCGAGUGGCGAACGGGUGAGUAACACGUGAGUAACCUGCACUUGACUUUGGGAUAACUUCAGGAAACUGGGGCUAAUACCGGAUAGGAGCUCCUGCUGCAUGGUGGGGGUUGGAAAGUUUCGGCGGUUGGGGAUGGACUCGCGGCUUAUCAGCUUGUUGGUGGGGUAGUGGCUUACCAAGGCUUUGACGGGUAGCCGGCCUGAGAGGGGGACCGGCCACAUUGGGACUGAGAUACGGCCCAGACUCCUACGGUACGCAGCAGUGGGGAAUAUUGCACAAUGGGCGGAAGCCUGAUGCAGCAACGCCGCGUGCGGGAUGACGGCCUUCGGGUUGUAAACCGCUUUCGCCUGAGACGAAGCGUGAGUGACGGUAAUGGGUAAAGAAGCACCGGCUAACUACGUG
This 468-nucleotide ribosomal RNA is filed under the name uncultured bacterium. RNAcentral's name for it is "partial 16S ribosomal RNA". It matches the Rfam family "Bacterial small subunit ribosomal RNA", at positions 28 to 507 of the family's 1533-position model. The record is from RNAcentral.